Molecule: ribosomal RNA, 253 nt
Filed under: uncultured bacterium
Lineage: Bacteria
Description: partial 16S ribosomal RNA
Rfam family: Bacterial small subunit ribosomal RNA
Source: RNAcentral
UACGUAGGGGGCAAGCGUUGUCCGGAAUCAUUGGGCGUAAAGAGCGCGUAGGCGGCCCUGUAAGUCCGCUGUGAAAGUCAAGGGCUCAACCCUUGAAUGCCGGUGGAUACUGCAGGGCUAGAGUCCGGAAGAGGCGAGUGGAAUUCCUGGUGUAGCGGUGAAAUGCGCAGAUAUCAGGAGGAACACCGGUGGCGAAGGCGGGUCUCUGGGCCAAAACUGACGCUGAGGAGCGAAAGCGUGGGGAGCGAACAGG